CCUACGGGGGGCAGCAGUGGGGAAUAUUGCGCAAUGGGCGAAAGCCUGACGCAGCGACGCCGCGUGAGGGAUGAAGGUCUUCGGAUCGUAAACCUCUGUCAGCAGGGAAGAACGGUCACUGUGCUAAUCAGCAGUGAAUUGACGGUACCUGCAAAGGAAGCACCGGCUAACUCCGUGCCAGCAGCCGCGGUAAUACGGAGGGUGCGAGCGUUAAUCGGAAUGACUGGGCGGAAAGCGCUCGUAGGCGGUAUGUCAAGUCAAGGGUGAAAUCCCCGCGCGCAACGUGGGAACGGCCUUUGACACUGUCAAACUGGAGUGUGUGAUCGGUUAGUGGAAUUCCAUGUGUAGGAGUGACAUCCGUAGAUAUCUGGCGGAACAUCAGUGGC
This 386-nucleotide ribosomal RNA is filed under the name uncultured bacterium. RNAcentral describes it as "partial 16S ribosomal RNA". It matches the Rfam family "Bacterial small subunit ribosomal RNA", at positions 338 to 716 of the family's 1533-position model. The record is from RNAcentral.